AUGUGGAAAGCACAUAGUAUACAUACAGAGUCACUAUAAAUAUUAGUAUAAAGUGCAUUUUUUUUUUAAUUUUAAAUAACAUGGAUGUACAAUCAGUUAAUACCCGAAGAAAAGUAUUAAAUCAUGUUGUUUGUAGUAUUUUAGUAGAAUGUGGUUAUGAUACUUGUGAAAAACAAGUGUUAGAAACUCUAACAGAGAUGCUUCAAUCUUUUAUCGUGGAAGUUGGACAAUCUGCAAGAAAUUAUUGUGAACUUUCUGGAAGAACAGAACCUCUAAUUGCAGAUGUUAUAUUAGCAUUAGUAAAUAUGGGAAUAAGAUUAGAAAAUUUAGAAAGUUAUGGAAAGAGAUCAAAUAGAACAGUUUUACCUCCAUUACAACAACAAACUCAGUCAAAACAAUUAAAUAUUUUACAAGCUGGUGUAAAACAAAGUCAUCCCUCACAUAUACCAAAUUAUUUACCAGCUUUUCCAGAUCCACAUGCAUAUAUCAGAACACCUACACAUAAACAACCAGUAACUGAAUAUGAAGCUAUAAGAGAAAAAGCUGCUACACAAAAACGAGAUAUCGAAAGAGCCUUAACAAGGUUUAUUGCAAAAACUGGAGAAACGCACAGUUUAUUUUUAACAGAAGAUAACAGCAUGUUUCCUUUAAUAGCUUGUAAACCACAAUUUCCUAGUUAUCUGUCUGCACUUUUACCUCAAGAUCAAAUAUUUGAAACAGAUCAAGACUUUCAAUUUGAACCAACACCAGUUAAAAAGAAAAAAGAACAGAAAGCAGAAGAAAAAGAGGAAGGAGCUAAUGUAAAAAGUGAAGGUGCAGAACAAACUAAUGAGGCUACUACACAGCAAGAUGGUAUAGAUAAUCCUUACUUACGUCCUGGAAAAAUACCUAAAAACAAGAUACCUGGUGCCAUAGCUCCUUCGCAGCAUUUAAUAAAAAGAGAUGCUUUUGUCGAUACUUAACAACUUUACAAAUAUCUCAGGCAACUAUAAUAUUGCACGAGUUAGCACCAGUUGAACGAUGUUAAUGUAAAUACUAUCAAACUCUGGAGGACUUUUCUUAUAUUUUUCUAAACCUAUACAUUUAUUCAGUGCUAAUGCAAUAAAUAACAUUGCAAAUUUGUGUGUUUGCGUAUCAAGAGAUGCUAAAUUGGCAUGCAUUUAACGAAAUAAUUUCGAAUAUUAAUUUAAAAAAGGUAAUUAAAUUAAAGAAGAUAACAAAUGACGAAAAGAGA
Molecule: unclassified non-coding RNA, 1234 nt
Organism: Polistes dominula (European paper wasp)
Lineage: Eukaryota; Metazoa; Arthropoda; Insecta; Hymenoptera; Vespidae
Source: RefSeq, a predicted model, not a curated record